GGGCCGUACCGGAUUAUUGGGUUUAAGGGAGCGUAGGCGGUCUGUUAAGCGUGUUGUGAAAUUUCGGUGCUCAACAUCUACAUUGCAUUGCGAACUGGCGGACUUGAGUGCGCGCAACGUAGGCGGAAUUCCUGGUGUAGCGGUGAAAUGCUUAGAUAUCAGGACGAACUCCGAUUGCGAAGGCAGCCUACUGGAGUGUUACUGACGCUCAAGCUCGAAAGUGCGGGUAUCGAACAGGAUUAGAUACCCUGGUAGUCCGCACGGUAAACGAUGGAUGCCCGCUGUUAGCGCCUGGCGUUAGCGGCUAAGCGAAAGCAUUAAUCAUCCCACCUGGGGGGUACGCCGGGUACGGUGAAACUCAAAGAAAUUUGACGGGCG
This 378-nucleotide ribosomal RNA is filed under the name uncultured bacterium. Its description in RNAcentral is "bacterial SSU rRNA". It matches the Rfam family "Bacterial small subunit ribosomal RNA", at positions 538 to 919 of the family's 1533-position model. The record is from RNAcentral.